CCCUAGCCCAGAUGGAAACGGCAUCCUUUUUCUUUUUUUUAAAGAAAAAGAUACAGUGAACAGCUGGAAAUAGC
RNAcentral lists this small RNA (74 nucleotides) under Flavobacterium omnivorum. RNAcentral describes it as "Flavo-1 RNA". It matches the Rfam family "Flavo-1 RNA". Lineage: Bacteria; Pseudomonadati; Bacteroidota; Flavobacteriia; Flavobacteriales; Flavobacteriaceae. The record is from RNAcentral.